RNAcentral lists this long non-coding RNA (889 nucleotides) under Malus domestica (apple). RNAcentral's name for it is "long non-coding RNA (MDOM_LNC019278)". Lineage: Eukaryota; Viridiplantae; Streptophyta; Magnoliopsida; Rosales; Rosaceae. The record is from RNAcentral.
CAAGACAAGAAAUAAACCGGCCGACACUCUGACAUCUGGCCAAGACAAUUAAUUUUACUUCUCCAUAAUAAUAAGUAACAAUUUGAUCAUCAUUCCAUUUGAACUAAUUUUUAAGCAAUAUUUAACAUAGCCUUAUAUGGUUUUAAACCCUCUGAAACUGAUAUACUUAAAAUAAACAUAUGUUUUUGCAGAAACAUAAACCCUAGCAAGCCUUCUCUAGCUCCUAAUAUAUGUGUGUGCGCUAUCAAAGGCUCCUGUCUCCUCAAUACAAGAAUAAUGAUAAGAUCUACAUAAUAUUAUACUCAAAAUUAGUAUGCUUUUUAUUGUUGGCAUCAACCGAAUUCUGGGGUAGCAGUUACGUAGGGAUUUUACCAAUUAUAGAGAUUGUAGUUGAACAAUUUAAGUUAGUAAACCGAAAGCUAUAUUCAGAGUUCAUCAUACACAGAGAGCAGAGAAGUUAUCUGAAUAUCUGCCCUAAAGUAGCAGAAAAAAGAAGUUAGUUAAAUAGGGAGUUAAAGAUUUUUUAUCAAGUGUGUUAAAUUCAACAUUGACAUUGCUCCUCCAACCAAGACAGCGGUUUUACUUUGUUCAGGAACCCCUAAAUUUCCUGAUCACUUUUUGGGUAAAAAUUAUUUCCACACCUUGAGUUUGAAGUGUUUGUUUCUCCCAAUUUAAAGCCAGAGAGAACCCCGGCCUGCUCUUACCAUAUUAAUUUGUUUAAAUAUAUAUAAUAUGCAGGCAGCUGGAGAUCUGAGCAGAGCGGCAAAAAGGAAUGGACAAAGCCAGUGAUACUUGAUAAGAAUCUAAUUGCUUCUUCACAGUGAUUAGAAUAAUAACGAUUCGUCAUCAGUCAAAUGAAGAUGAAAAUGAAAACUGUUGAUGCACAAAA